This 506-nucleotide ribosomal RNA is filed under the name Claviceps paspali (paspalum staggers ergot). RNAcentral's name for it is "partial large subunit ribosomal RNA". It matches the Rfam family "Eukaryotic large subunit ribosomal RNA", at positions 86 to 600 of the family's 3401-position model. The record is from RNAcentral. Lineage: Eukaryota; Fungi; Ascomycota; Sordariomycetes; Hypocreales; Clavicipitaceae.
ACGGCGAAGUGAAGCGGCAACAGCUUCAAAUUUGAAAUCUGGCCUCCGGGCCCGAGUUGUAAUUUGCAGAGGAGGCUUUUGGCGAGGCGCCUUCCGAGUUCCCUGGAACGGGACGCCAUAGAGGGUGAGAGCCCCGUCUGGUUGGAUGCCGAGCCUCUGUAAAGCUCCUUCGACGAGUCGAGUAGUUUGGGAAUGCUGCUCUAAAUGGGAGGUAUAUGUCUUCUAAAGCUAAAUAUUGGCCAGAGACCGAUAGCGCACAAGUAGAGUGAUCGAAAGAUGAAAAGCACUUUGAAAAGAGGGUUAAACAGUACGUGAAAUUGUUGAAAGGGAAGCGCUUGUGACCAGACUUGGGCCCGGCGGAUCACCCAGCGUUCUCGCUGGUGCACUCCGGCGGGCCCAGGCCAGCAUCAGCUCGUCCCGGGGGACAAAGGCUCUGGGAAUGUGGCUCCUCCGGGAGUGUUAUAGCCCUCUGCGCAAUGCCCUGGGGCGGGCUGAGGACCGCGCAU